GGGGAAUCUUGCGCAAUGGGCGAAAGCCUGACGCAGCAACGCCGCGUGCGGGAUGACGGCCUUCGGGUUGUAAACCGCUUUCAGCAGGGACGAAAUUGACGGUACCUGCAGAAGAAGCCCCGGCCAACUACGUGCCAGCAGCCGCGGUAACACGUAGGGGGCGAGCGUUGUCCGGAUUUAUUGGGCGUAAAGAGCUCGUAGGCGGCCUUGUCAGUCGGGUGUGAAACCUCCAGGCUCAACCUGGAGCCGCCACCCGAUACUGCAAUAGCUAGAGUCCGGUAGGGGAGCAUGGAACUCCUGGUGUAGCGGUGAAAUGCGCAGAUAUCAGGAAGAACACCAGUGGCGAAGGCGGUGCUCUGGGCCGGAACUGACGCUGAGGAGCGAAAGCGUGGGGAGCAAAC
RNAcentral lists this ribosomal RNA (401 nucleotides) under uncultured bacterium. RNAcentral describes it as "bacterial SSU rRNA". It matches the Rfam family "Bacterial small subunit ribosomal RNA", at positions 356 to 773 of the family's 1533-position model. The record is from RNAcentral.